This 238-nucleotide ribosomal RNA is filed under the name uncultured Lactobacillus sp. RNAcentral's name for it is "partial 16S ribosomal RNA". It matches the Rfam family "Bacterial small subunit ribosomal RNA", at positions 123 to 355 of the family's 1533-position model. The record is from RNAcentral. Lineage: Bacteria; Bacillati; Bacillota; Bacilli; Lactobacillales; Lactobacillaceae.
AACCUGCCCAAGAGAUCGGGAUAACACCUGGAAACAGAUGCUAAUACCGGAUAACAANAGAUGAUGCCUAUCAACUGUUUAAAAGAUGGUUCUGCUAUCACUCUUGGAUGGACCUGCGGUGCAUUAGCUAGUUGGUAGGGUAACGGCCUACCAAGGCGAUGAUGCAUAGCCGAGUUGAGAGACUGAUCGGCCACAUUGGGACUGAGACACGGCCCAAACUCCUACGGGAGGCAGCAGU